AGAGUUUGAUCCUGGCUCAGGAUGAACGCUGGCGGCGUGCUUAACACAUGCAAGUCGAACGAUUAAAGCCCCUUCGGGGGUGUAUAAAGUGGCGAACGGGUGAGUAACACGUGGGUAACCUGCCCCUCACUCUGGGAUAACUCCGGGAAACCGGAGCUAAUACCGGAUACUCCGCUGAGAUCGCAUGGUCUUAUCGGGAAAGCUCCGACGGUGAGGGAUGGACCCGCGGCCCAUUAGCUUGUUGGUAGGGUAAUGGCCUACCAAGGCGACGAUCGGUAGCUGGUCUGAGAGGAUGAUCAGCCACACUGGGACUGAGACACGGCCCAGACUCCUACGGGAGGCAGCAGUGGGGAAUAUUGGACAAUGGGCGAAAGCCUGAUCCAGCCACGCCGCGUGUGUGAUGAAGGUCUUCGGAUCGUAAAGCACUGUGGAGAGGGACGAAAAGCGCGAGGAAUAAUACCUUCGUGUUUUGACGGUACCUUUUUAGCAAGCACCGGCUAACUCCGUGCCAGCAGCCGCGGUAAUACGGAGGGUGCGAACGUUGCUCGGAAUUAUUGGGCGUAAAGCGCGUGUAGGCGGCGAAAUAAGUCGAGUGUGAAAGCCCUGGGCUUAACCCAGGAAGUGCGCUCGAAACUGUUUGGCUAGAGUACGGGAGAGGGUAGCGGAAUUCCCGGUGUAGAGGUGAAAUUCGUAGAUAUCGGGAGGAACACCAGUGGCGAAGGCGGCUACCUGGACCGAUACUGACGCUGAGACGCGAAAGCGUGGGUAGCAAACAGGAUUAGAUACCCUGGUAGUCCACGCCGUAAACGAUGAGUGCUAGGUGUUGUGGGUAUUGACCCCCGCGGCGCCGAAGUUAACGCAUUAAGCACUCCGCCUGGGGAGUACGGCCGCAAGGCUAAAACUUAAAGGAAUUGACGG
This 918-nucleotide ribosomal RNA is filed under the name uncultured bacterium. Its description in RNAcentral is "bacterial SSU rRNA". It matches the Rfam family "Bacterial small subunit ribosomal RNA", at positions 8 to 916 of the family's 1533-position model. The record is from RNAcentral.